UUUCGAGCUGUCACUUGAGAUGCAAAUCGACGCUUUCGGAAGAUAUUGAUAUUUAUGAGAUUCUUUUAGACAUUAAAUAGAACAUCGUACAGGCUAUAGGUUGAUUACUUCAAAAUAAGUAUAGUUAUCUUAAACCUCAACUACAAGUAGAACGGUGGAAUUGAACAAGGCAUUAUGUUCAAAACGGUUUAUAUCUCGACCCAUAUCCUCCGGAGCAAUUUACUACCUAAAAACAAUAAUUGCAGCAUCAUUAUCCAGACCCUGGGAAAGAUCACAGAAAAUGUGCUUAGCAACUAACGCCAUCAACGCAUUGCCGACUGAUGCAUCACCGAUACCGUGUAAUUUUAAGCAUCAAACCUCCUAAACUCUCUCUCGAAUACAAAUCUCGAUACCUUCUGUCGUCACCUAAUAUAAAAUAAAUGAUGAAAAGUGCAGUCACCUGGUAUUCUAUUCAUUCAGUUAACAAGAAGCAAAGAUAGAGAAGGAGAAGAAAGGCGACACGACGAUUCGCGAGGCGGCAGAAAAGCCCGAAGAACCGUGGAAACCUUGUUGCUGGAAUACAGUUAGCCCAUUGUUCACGGCGUGAACUUGCAUGUUAACGUGUCGAACAGCAAAUACUCGUUUAACCACGCGUCGACGGAGUCUCGUAGCCUAUACUAAUGUCACGUUCACGCGAUUAGAAACCGCUAAUAAUUAGCCGACCGGAAGAACACCUGGCACGCUCGCCAAUUCGACGCAGUGUUCCACCUUCCUUUCACGCGUUAUGUACUUCAUUGUUUUCUUCUAUCGUCCGUUAAUUCGUGGUUCCAGGAGCUAUUGUAAAAAAGAAACUGGGUUAUUAUUUAAUUUACUGAAUUCCCUGGCACAGCUAUUUAUUUAAUUUAACAAAUUUCCGCAACGUCACGACUGCUGUCGACAGUUUGACUAGAGCCAGGUGAGACAUCCACAGUCUUAUAGCGACCGCCGAGGAAUACGGAUAUAUCUGUUAAAUAUAUAAAUACCUUUAUAUUAUUUUCUGCGUUUAUUUAAUUAGAGCUAGGUGAGAUAUCCACAGUCUUAUAGCGACCGCCGAGCAGUACGGAUGUAUCUGUUUGUAAAUACCUUUAUUUUAUUUUCUGCGUUUAUUUAAUUAGAGCUACGUGAGAUAUUCACAGUCUUAUAGCGACCGCCGAGGAGUACGGAUGUAUUUGUUAAACAUGUAAAUACCUUUAUUUUAUUUUCUGCGUUUAUUUAAUUUGCUGUAUUUAUCUUCUUCACUUAUUGAAUAAACUAAU
Molecule: long non-coding RNA, 1274 nt
Organism: Osmia lignaria (orchard mason bee)
Lineage: Eukaryota; Metazoa; Arthropoda; Insecta; Hymenoptera; Megachilidae
Source: RefSeq, a predicted model, not a curated record